Molecule: ribosomal RNA, 193 nt
Filed under: uncultured bacterium
Lineage: Bacteria
Description: partial 16S ribosomal RNA
Rfam family: Bacterial small subunit ribosomal RNA
Source: RNAcentral
CCUACGGGAGGCAGCAGUAGGGAAUCUUCCGCAAUGGACGCAAGUCUGACGGAGCAACGCCGCGUGAGCGACGAAGGUUUUCGGAUCGUAAAACUCUGUUGUGAGGGAAGAACACGUACCAACUAACUAUUGGUACCUUGACGGUACCUCACCAGAAAGCCACGGCUAACUACGUGCCAGCAGCCGCGGUAAU